Molecule: long non-coding RNA, 2489 nt
Organism: Trichoplusia ni (cabbage looper)
Lineage: Eukaryota; Metazoa; Arthropoda; Insecta; Lepidoptera; Noctuidae
Exons: 2
Source: RefSeq, a predicted model, not a curated record
AAAAAAAGUAUUUAAUAGCUUUGCGGUUCCAUGUUUGGAUUAGUAUGCACGAUGUGUAGGUGCGUUCCUAAGGCAAAAAAUGGGAUAUUUUCAAUCUAUAUGUAGGUAUUUUCUUAAUAAUUCUAGGUCUUACAAACAGUGCAAACACCGUAAGAAAACCUGGAUUUCAAUAGUGUCAACUCGCAGUUGGGUAGCAUAGUAAUAUAUACUCAAACCACAGCAGCAAGAUGACUGAAGGCAGGUAUUAUUUAAUUACCAUUUCAUGAUAUCAAGACUACUACACUUAAUAUUGCAUCUAAAAGAUAGUCAAUGCAAAGAGUACAGAAGAAAAAGGGUGGGUAUUUGGGUAAUAAUUUUAUAGAAUUUAUCUUAAAUUUGAUUCGAAUUAGCAAAUGACACACAUUACGCAGUUUGCCUCGCUUUGUCAACACAAGGUCAGACCCAAGAUAUUGACUUAUAGGCAGUUUUAUAUAACUACGAUAAGGCGAUAGGAACUAUAAUUGGUUAAUUUCCAUUGUUUUUCUGAUGUUCAAUUUCGAUUUCUUGUACUAUAAAAGUAGUCGUUAAAACCCUAUCUUGGAUUGUAAUUUAGGAGUAAAUAGUUUCAUAUUAUAUUAUUUUUAUUUUUAGUAUAUACAAUAAUGAUCCCUAUUACUUAACUAGUUGCCUAGCAACAAGCAUUGUUACUGAGUUUUUCUGACGGUAGAGACCUCCGCCCAAGUUCAAUUUUUUACUGCGACUGUUUAAUUACACAAAAACAUUCUUUUGUUUGUUUAAUUAAGGAAUGCUUUCGUGCAGAUUAUUUUAACCGCCAUAGUUAUACUAUACCUAGAUAAGAAAGUAAAACAGAAUGAACAUGCUUUGUUAUAAAUACACUACGGUUAUACAGUACUCGGUAGCUCGGUUCUUGCGUAAGACUACAUACUAGAUUAUGGGAGGCAGGAGUUAGCUGUAUGCCAAAAGAAAUAUAUCUAUCCUAAUAUUCCUCAUAUUAUAAAGCCGAGGUGUUUGUUUAUUUGAACGUGCAUAAUCUCGGGAACUGUAGGUCCGUUUUGAAAAAACUUUCAGUUUUAGAUAGCCCAUUUAUAGAUGAAGGCUUUAGCACAUAUUUCAUCACGGUAUAAUUAUUAGAAGCAAAGCGAUUAUGAAAUCUGUUACAAAAAGAGAAGAUCCGUGCAGACUAAAACUAUUAAUUCGAUUUUUAAUACACCUAAAUUAUUUCUUCAUAACACGUGGACAGAGUCGCGGCCAACAGCUGGUCAAAUAUAAAAUCGAACAAAAUAGCAUCUAUAGAGCAAGUAUUUAGUACCAAAAUGCUACCUAGAAAAAUGUUUGACAAUAAUUUAGACAUGGAUAUAGGGAGGGUUACACACCACACUGCCCUAAAUUGAAUAACUGCGCCAAGAUCGGCACAUCCUGCAUGCCCAUGCAAAUGUGAACAGAAUCUAAAUCUAUAUUUGUUUAUUACAAUGCAACAUUUAAAAACCUUAGUUACAGAUAGUUAUUAUGACAAGUAGAAUGUUUUUGUGUUUGACGCAACACCUGUAUUCGAAUCUUCAAGGUCUUUAAUUUUUUGGCUAAAGAAUUGUGAAGGAGGUUGAGUUUUUAUGUACAUCUAGAUGGCUAGGUAGGUUACGUAGAAACAAUGAAUUUGCAGAAGAUAUUUCGGUAAGGUAUUUUAAUUGUAUCAAAGAUUCUGUUAUCGAAAGACUAAUCUAAUUAAGAUACGACAGAUAAUUCCUAAAUUCUUAAUACUCGUCCUGAAACAAAAGCGGAUCGUACUAGUCAAAUUCUUAAGUAUAGGUAUCAAUCAUUCAGACAUGGAUCAUGCGCAGAAGUCGUGGUCGUGUUAUCGCAUUAUCUUACUCGAAAGACCAUUGUAAAUAAAUAUUUACGCGAAAUAAAGCCAAAUAUAUUGAUGUAAUAAAUGCGAUAUUCGAAUGACGAUGACGAGUUGAGUCGAUUGCUUACAUCAAGACAUCUACUGUUAAUCGAUACCAUGCUGCCAUGCCAGUGACACAUCAGAUAACGUAUUGUGUGCAAAAAAGAAUAUUCUUCUAUCUUUAUAGUCUUCCGUGCAUUUCUUUUAUUUUAUUAAAAUAUUAAAUAUGAUUAACUUUUGUCGUCAAGGCGAUAUGGUCUGUUCCUGGUGUUAUCUAAGAAGAAAAUAGUUACAUCUCGUAAAAAACCUACCUACUACAUCUUAUAAUGCAACGUUCUAAUUCAUCACAUGUAUGUCAAACGCAUUAUGAUCGAUGUUAUGCUAUAUACCUUACAUAGCUAUAGACAACGCUCGUUAAUCACUUGCUACUAGAGCUACUUCAUCAACAAUAAAUGAAAUAUAACAACCUUGUUUACAAUGUCUCCAGUGACCUAGCCAAGGUUUGAGUGUUUAAAGACUACAGUGUUACUUACGCUGAGAUCUUCGACGGCGCCAUCUACAUCGAAACCGAGGGUUUUGGGUGCAAAGUAACGGUAACUCUUCAUCG